GUACGGGAGGCAGCAGUGGGGAAUAUUGCACAAUGGGGGAAACCCUGAUGCAGCAACGCCGCGUGAGUGAUGACGGUCUUCGGAUUGUAAAACUCUGUCUUCAGGGACGAUAAUGACGGUACCUGAGGAGGAAGCCACGGCUAACUACGUGCCAGCAGCCGCGGUAAUACGUAGGUGGCAAGCGUUGUCCGGAUUUACUGGGCGUAAAGGGAGCGUAGGUGGAUAUUUAAGUGGGAUGUGAAAUACUCGGGCUUAACCUGGGUGCUGCAUUCCAAACUGGAUAUCUAGAGUGCAGGAGAGGAAAGUAGAAUUCCUAGUGUAGCGGUGAAAUGCGUAGAGAUUAGGAAGAAUACCAGUGGCGAAGGCGACUUUCUGGACUGUAACUGACACUGAGGCUCGAAAGCGUGGGGAGCAAACAGGAUUAGAUACCCCGGUAGA
This 438-nucleotide ribosomal RNA is filed under the name uncultured bacterium. RNAcentral describes it as "bacterial SSU rRNA". It matches the Rfam family "Bacterial small subunit ribosomal RNA", at positions 339 to 794 of the family's 1533-position model. The record is from RNAcentral.